RNAcentral lists this transfer RNA (73 nucleotides) under Ictidomys tridecemlineatus (thirteen-lined ground squirrel). RNAcentral describes it as "Spermophilus tridecemlineatus (thirteen-lined ground squirrel) tRNA". It matches the Rfam family "tRNA". From Rfam's summary of the family: Transfer RNA (tRNA) molecules are approximately 80 nucleotides in length. The record is from Rfam by way of RNAcentral. Lineage: Eukaryota; Metazoa; Chordata; Mammalia; Rodentia; Sciuridae. RNAcentral also lists the same sequence under 1 other name.
GGGGAUAUAGCUCAGUUGGUAGAGUGCUUGCCUUGCAAGCACAAGGCCCUGGGUUCAAUUCCCAGCACCACCA